ACUGCAGCUGCAAGGGAAGGAGCAGAAGCCAAUCAGCAUCAUAUAUGUGCAAAGGGGCAGCCAUCACUAGGAGUUAGGAGAUGAUCUGAAAUUCUUGACAGAGAUGGGUUUGGGCAGGGUCCCCAGGUCUGAGCAGCACCCAUCCGUUCAGAGAAGGAUCCAGACUGGAAGGCUUCAGUCCAUUCCUUGUUUUAAUAAUACACUUGUGUGUGGUUUAAGGAAUCUAAAAUCAGCUCAGAUCUGGUGAUCUCAGUUACAGCAGUGGCUAUAAAACUAUAAAAACUGUCCCAGAGGGAUACUGUAGUGCCUGGCACUGCUUUGAAGUCAUUUUUAAAAGGCGUACUCAAUUUAAAUGGACCGUGUCUCUAAUAAUAUAAGUUAUUUCCAGGGAAGAUGGGAACAGGAUUUGGUGCAAUAUUGAUAGUUUAGCCAAUCAAUGGGUGAAGAAUAAUAAGGAAGCGAUCAUGAGGAUACUGAGACACCUUCUGCUUUGGGUUUAUAUCACAAAGAAAUCUGUUAAGAGGAAGUUUCAUUUCCCUUGUUUCAAAUUCCUUUAACAAGAAGGGCUGUCAGGACUGUAUACAGACAACCUUGGUGUAACUGACCAGAGCGAUGCAGGGGACUGGAAUAUAAUCAGCCUUUGUGACUAACCAAUACCUAGUAUAAUGACUGUUUCUUCUUUACGUAGCUUUUUACUCCUAGGCUACCACUGAUGCAUGGCAGCUGCUAAACUGUAGCUCCCAGUAGUGUCACAUAUUGAGGUCUAUAGACACUCCCUUUAUAACUAGGGAUAGGUGAACUGGCUCAGCUAAAAUGAAUGAGCACAGACCCCAAACUGAAUCUGGUUCAGAUAAAGUGAGAACAGACCCAAAUCUUCCCCCAAACUCAGACUGAAUCUCUUAUUAGGCCUGAAAAAGUUGGUUAACUUUUCAAAUGAAUAUUUUCAUUUUCACACACUUCUGUGCUUCUAGAUCCCAGCUGGGAUUAGCAGAGGAUUUGCACAAUUAGAGUCUGAUUGCGAUUGUAUACAACGCCAGUGUCACCGUGCAAUGCUAGCAGAAGGCUGGGAAUCAGGAGACCCUGUGUUCUACAUCUGGCUCUUCCAGUGCCCUGCUAUGUGGGUCUUGUUAUGCCACUUCACUCUUUAUGUCUCUAUUGUCUCCUCUGUAGAAUGGGAAUAACAAAAUUAUGACUGUUGUUUGUGUUACAGUGACAUCUAGAAUCCACUACUGAGAUCAGGGACCCACUGUGCUAGGAACUGCAUAAACGGGAUCACGUGGCUGAUAGCCAGAGACGAAAGAUCCCUUACUGGUGCCUCCCAGCUCUUUCCGAUUCUUCUCGCCACUCAGCAAGAACUCUCCUUUUUUAAGAGUCCAUGCUAUGGGAUCUGCCGAAGGCUGGAAGCAUACGACCAAUGUAGGCAGAAGCUCCAGAGGGGAGCUCUCUCCUGCCUCUACUGGUGAAAAGGAAAAAGUGCUGCCACAGAGUUCUUCCUUUGCAUAGACUACCUACCCACAAUUCCUCUCAGGACGCUUGAGGAGUCAUCAUAACUAGACAUUAACUUGGAUUUUGGGGGUAGUUGGCUCCUAGAUCAGUUUAAAGAGUUUAUUUCUAAGCAGUCAGGAUUCUGCUGAAGGGUCUUAAAUGUUCUUGUUUCCUUUCCAGUGGGGACUUUGUUGUGAAAAAUGACCCAGUGUUCUGCUUAUCUAGCACCGUAAUGAGCUACCUCAUUAGACUGGGUUAGCUGGUGGCCCCUCCAGGCAGGACUGGGUAAGCAGCUCCCCUGGAACUGGAGACAGACCUGCAAAGAGACACUUGGAUGACUAGUACUUGCUGAUCCUAACAGUGAGUGGGGUUUGGUGGAUAGGUGAGGUGGUGCAGCCAAGGGACUGUGGGACAUUCUCACUAGUGGGUGGGCAGACAGGAAAGCGGGGUGGAGGGUAUUUGACUCUUUAUAUGCAUACCUGUUCCGUUGGUGGGUUUUCCCAGAUUCAUGACUGUGUUCCCUUUGUCCUUGUUUGUACACAGUCC
Molecule: long non-coding RNA, 2031 nt
Organism: Chelonia mydas (Green sea turtle)
Lineage: Eukaryota; Metazoa; Chordata; Testudines; Cheloniidae
Exons: 3
Source: RefSeq, a predicted model, not a curated record